RNAcentral lists this ribosomal RNA (425 nucleotides) under uncultured bacterium. RNAcentral's name for it is "partial 16S ribosomal RNA". It matches the Rfam family "Bacterial small subunit ribosomal RNA", at positions 354 to 796 of the family's 1533-position model. The record is from RNAcentral.
GUGGGGAAUAUUGGACAAUGGGGGCAACCCUGAUCCAGCAAUGCCGCGUGUGUGAAGAAGGUCUUCGGAUCGUAAAGCACUUUCGACGGGGACGAUGAUGACGGUACCCGUAGAAGAAGCCCCGGCUAACUUCGUGCCAGCAGCCGCGGUAAUACGAAGGGGGCUAGCGUUGCUCGGAAUUACUGGGCGUAAAGGGCGCGUAGGCGGCUCUGUUCGUCAGGCGUGAACUUCCUGGGCUUAACCGGGGGACUGCGCUUGAUACUGCGGAGCUUGAGGCCGAGAGAGGGUGGUGGAAUUCCCAGUGUAGAGGUGAAAGUCGUAGAUAUUGGGAAGAACACCGGUGGCGAAGGCGACCACCUGGCUCGGUACUGACGCUGAGGCGCGACAGCGUGGGGAGCAAACAGGAUUAGAAACCCUAGUAGUCC